CCUACGGGUGGCAGCAGUGGGGAAUAUUGCACAAUGGGGGAAACCCUGAUGCAGCAACGCCGCGUGAGUGAAGAAGUAUUUCGGUAUGUAAAGCUCUAUCAGCAGGGAAGAAGAUGACGGUACCUGAUUAAGAAGCCCCGGCUAACUACGUGCCAGCAGCCGCGGUAAUACGUAGGGGGCAAGCGUUAUCCGGAUUUACUGGGUGUAAAGGGAGCGCAGACGGCAGUGCAAGUCUGGAGUGAAAGCCCGGGGGCCAACCCCGGAACUGCUCUGGAAACUGUGCGGCUAGAGUGCUAGAGGGGCAGGCGGAAUUCCUAGUGUAGCGGUGAAAUGCGUAGAUAUUAGGAGGAACACCAGUGGCGAAGGCGGCAUGCUGGACAGUAACUGACGUUGAGGCUCGAAAGCGUGGGGAGCAAACAGGAUUAGAUACCCUAGUAGUC
RNAcentral lists this ribosomal RNA (440 nucleotides) under uncultured bacterium. Its description in RNAcentral is "partial 16S ribosomal RNA". It matches the Rfam family "Bacterial small subunit ribosomal RNA", at positions 338 to 795 of the family's 1533-position model. The record is from RNAcentral.